GUCUACGGCCAUGCCACCCUGAACGAGCCCGAUCUCGUCUGAUUUUGAAAGCUAAGCAGGGUCGGAAGCUAAGCAGGGUCGGGCCUGGUUAGUACUUGGAUGGGAGACCACCUAGGAAGACCAGGUGCUGUAGGCA
RNAcentral lists this ribosomal RNA (136 nucleotides) under Pteropus alecto (black flying fox). Lineage: Eukaryota; Metazoa; Chordata; Mammalia; Chiroptera; Pteropodidae. The record is from RNAcentral.